UCCAAUCCUCCUCUGCCUCCAUGGCCUGCAGCAAGGGAUCCCAAUCAUAUCUGUGGGUCAUCGCAUGGUCCAUCGUCGCCGUUCCCUUAGCACGCCGCCUGCACUUCCUCUUGGUCGUCGCAAUCGUUGGGUCAUCGGUUCAUCUGUUCGUGCCUAGAUUGUCGCCGUUCAUCUUUACUUAUGUUUCUCUUUGAUGAUGUCCAGGUGCCGCAGUACCGGCAGCGAAGCUGAAGGCCCCAGUGCAGGAGGAAGCAGGCGGGUGCUCGGCGACAUCAGCAACAUCGUCCCUGCCCACGUCCUCGAGG
This 305-nucleotide long non-coding RNA is filed under the name Triticum aestivum (bread wheat). RNAcentral's name for it is "long non-coding RNA (TAES_LNC002923)". The record is from RNAcentral. Lineage: Eukaryota; Viridiplantae; Streptophyta; Magnoliopsida; Poales; Poaceae.